GCAGUCGAACGGUAACAGAAAGCAGCUUGCUGCUUUGCUGACGAGUGGCGGACGGGUGAGUAAUGUCUGGGAAACUGCCUGAUGGAGGGGGAUAACUACUGGAAACGGUAGCUAAUACCGCAUAACGUCGCAAGACCAAAGAGGGGGACCUUCGGGCCUCUUGCCAUCGGAUGUGCCCAGAUGGGAUUAGCUUGUUGGUGGGGUAACGGCUCACCAAGGCGACGAUCCCUAGCUGGUCUGAGAGGAUGACCAGCCACACUGGAACUGAGACACGGUCCAGACUCCUACGGGAGGCAGCAGUGGGGAAUAUUGCACAAUGGGCGCAAGCCUGAUGCAGCCAUGCCGCGUGUAUGAAGAAGGCCUUCGGGUUGUAAAGUACUUUCAGCGGGGAGGAAGGGAGUAAAGUUAAUACCUUUGCUCAUUGACGUUACCCGCAGAAGAAGCACCGGCUAACUCCGUGCCAGCAGCCGCGGUAAUACGGAGGGUGCAAGCGUUAAUCGGAAUUACUGGGCGUAAAGCGCACGCAGGCGGUUUGUUAAGUCAGAUGUGAAAUCCCCGGGCUCAACCUGGGAACUGCAUCUGAUACUGGCAAGCUUGAGUCUCGUAGAGGGGGGUAGAAUUCCAGGUGUAGCGGUGAAAUGCGUAGAGAUCUGGAGGAAUACCGGUGGCGAAGGCGGCCCCCUGGACGAAGACUGACGCUCAGGUGCGAAAGCGUGGGGAGCAAACAGGAUUAGAUACCCUGGUAGUCCACGCCGUAAACGAUGUCGACUUGGAGGUUGUGCCCUUGAGGCGUGGCUUCCGGAGCUAACGCGUUAAGUCGACCGCCUGGGGAGUACGGCCGCAAGGUUAAAACUCAAAUGAAUUGACGGGGGCCCGCACAAGCGGUGGAGCAUGUGGUUUAAUUCGAUGCAACGCGAAGAACCUUACCUGGUCUUGACUUCCACGGAAGUUUCAGAGAUGAAAUGUGCCUUCGGGAACCGUGAAACGGUGCUGCUGGCUGUCCUCACUCCGGUUGGGAAUGUUGGGUAAGUCCCGAACGAGCGAACCU
RNAcentral lists this ribosomal RNA (1048 nucleotides) under Escherichia coli. RNAcentral's name for it is "bacterial SSU rRNA". It matches the Rfam family "Bacterial small subunit ribosomal RNA", at positions 57 to 1103 of the family's 1533-position model. Lineage: Bacteria; Pseudomonadati; Pseudomonadota; Gammaproteobacteria; Enterobacterales; Enterobacteriaceae. The record is from RNAcentral.